AUCCUGCCGGAGGACAUUGCUAUUGGGAUUCGAUUUAGCCAUGCUAGUCGAACGAGUUCACACUCGUGGCACAUAGCUCAGUAACACGUGGCCAAGCUACCCUUCAGUCAGCAAUACCCUCGGGAAACUGAGGCUAAUAGCUGAUACGAAACAGACGCUGGAAUGCACUGUAUUCCAAAGACACCGCUGAAGGAUGCGGCUGCGGCCGAUUAGGUAGACGGUGGGGUAACGGCCCACCGUGCCAGUAAUCGGUACGGGUGAUGAGAGUCAGAGCCCGGAGACGGAAUCUGAGACAAGAUUCCGGGCCCUACGGGGCGCAGCAGGCGCGAAACCUUUACACUGCACGAAAGUGCGAUAGGGGAAUCCCAAGUGCGAGGGCAUAUUAGCCCUCGCUUUUGUUGACUCUAAGGCGGUCAACGAAUAAGAGCUGGGCAAGACCGGUGCCAGCCGCCGCGGUAAUACCGGCAGCUCGAGUGAUGUCCCAUAUUAUUGGGCCUAAAGCGUCCGUAGCUGGCCAACCAAGUCCAUCGGGAAAUCCACCCGCCCAACGGGUGGGCGUCCGGUGGAAACUGGCUGGCUUGGAACCGGAAGGCUCAGAGAGUACGUCCGGGGUAGGAGUGAAAUCCCGUAAUCCCGAACGGACCACCGAUGGCGAAAGCACCUCGAGAAGACGGCUCCGACGGUGAGGGACGAAAGCUAGGGUCUCGAACCGGAUUAGAUACCCGGGUAGUCCGAGCUGUAAACGAUGCUCGUUAGGUGUGGCACCCACUACGAGUGGGUGCUGCGCCGUAGGGAAGCCGCUAAACGAGCCGCCUGGGAAGUACGUCCGCAAGGAUGAAACUUAAAGGAAUUGGCGGGGGAGCACUACAACCGGAGGAGCCUGCGGUUUAAUUGGACUCAACGCCGGACAUCUCACCGGCACCGACAACAGUAAUGACGGUCAGGUUGAUGACCUUACUCGAGCUGUUGAGAGGAGGUGCAUGGCCGCCGUCAGCUCGUACCGUGAGGCGUCCUGUUAAGUCAGGCAACGAGCGAGACCCGCAUCCUUAGUUGCCAGCAACACCAUUGGUGGUUGGGUACAUUAGGAAGACUGCCAGUGCUAAACUGGAGGAAGGAAUGGGCAACGGUAGGUCAGUAUGCCCCGAAUGGGCUGGGCAACACGCGGGCUACAAUGGUCGGGACAAAGGGUUCCAACUCCGAAGGGAGACGGUAAUCUCAGAAACUCGAUCGUAGUUCGGAUUGUGGGCUGCAACUCGCCCACAUGAAGCUGGAUUCGGUAGUAAUCGCGUGUCACAAGCGCGCGGUGAAUACGUCCCUGCUCCUUGUACACACCGCCCGUCA
RNAcentral lists this ribosomal RNA (1341 nucleotides) under uncultured haloarchaeon. RNAcentral's name for it is "bacterial SSU rRNA". It matches the Rfam family "Archaeal small subunit ribosomal RNA". Lineage: Archaea; Methanobacteriati; Methanobacteriota; Halobacteria; Halobacteriales; Halobacteriaceae. The record is from RNAcentral.